This 159-nucleotide ribosomal RNA is filed under the name Botryosphaeria dothidea. RNAcentral describes it as "5.8S ribosomal RNA". It matches the Rfam family "5.8S ribosomal RNA". Rfam says of the family: 5.8S ribosomal RNA (5.8S rRNA) is a component of the large subunit of the eukaryotic ribosome. It is transcribed by RNA polymerase I as part of the 45S precursor that also contains 18S and 28S rRNA. The record is from RNAcentral. Lineage: Eukaryota; Fungi; Ascomycota; Dothideomycetes; Botryosphaeriales; Botryosphaeriaceae.
AAACUUUCAACAACGGAUCUCUUGGUUCUGGCAUCGAUGAAGAACGCAGCGAAAUGCGAUAAGUAAUGUGAAUUGCAGAAUUCAGUGAAUCAUCGAAUCUUUGAACGCACAUUGCGCCCUUUGGUAUUCCGAAGGGCAUGCCUGUUCGAGCGUCAUUAC